UUGCUGGCUCCCGCGGUGAUGGAUCACCGUUUCAGUGGCAUUUAAAUCCCCGGCGCUCCUCAGUCUAGGUGACGCGCAGUCGCCCCCCCAGGCAGCCCAGGCGACGGCGGCAGCUGCGACGGCUGCAAGGACAGAUUCGCAGCGCUGGGACGAAGGGGAGCAGAGGCUGCCUUCUGCGCGCGCCGACUCCGCUCCCCCCCACCCCCCACCCCCCGAGAGGUGGGGGCUGGGAGGCAUCCCUCCGUCUCCGCCCCUCCCCAUCGCGCGCAGAAAGAUGUACUGGCAAGAGGUCUGUUUGCCUGGACCCAUCAACAGCUGGGAGACUAAUCAACCACACUGAAAAUGUUUGGGGAUUUGUGGGAGAGGGGUUAGAAUGUAGAUGUUUGAAACAAAUGUGUAUAAAUAAAUGAAUUAUUGAUAACUUA
This is a long non-coding RNA of Pteropus alecto (black flying fox), 425 nucleotides long. RefSeq lists it as uncharacterized. NCBI's taxonomy places the organism in Eukaryota, Metazoa, Chordata, Mammalia, Chiroptera, Pteropodidae. The transcript is spliced from 2 exons. The record is from RefSeq and is a predicted model, not a curated record.